Molecule: small nucleolar RNA, 118 nt
Organism: Otolemur garnettii (small-eared galago)
Lineage: Eukaryota; Metazoa; Chordata; Mammalia; Primates; Galagidae
Source: Ensembl
GUUGUCUUAAGAAAUUAAUGAAUUCAAAGGCAAAGUACCAGGGAGAGAAAAGAAGGCUCUCUUAAUGCAUGACAGAAUUGCCCACAGUGGCCUCUCUGUUCCUGGGAGUGCAACAUCU